Molecule: non-coding RNA, 1721 nt
Organism: Nicotiana tabacum (common tobacco)
Lineage: Eukaryota; Viridiplantae; Streptophyta; Magnoliopsida; Solanales; Solanaceae
Source: RefSeq, a predicted model, not a curated record
CUCCGUGUUGAUUUCUAAUAUCCCAAAAAUAUAAAGAACAUUCAAUUCAAUAACAUAACAGAGGGACGGUCCGAUCCGUCCGGACAAGAGGACACUUCUCAGGUCCGGUCCAUUUUAAUUUAUAAUUCCUAAAAUAAAGAGACAAAGUGAAAAAGUGAAAAAGAGAGCUUGUAAGCACAAUUUCAAUUUCAAACGUUUAUUGCAAAACAGCGCUUCCUCUCCCUCUCUACCUCGGGCGGCGUUACGGUGAAAACCCGACGAAUUUCCAGCCGGAAGUAAUUAAUACUCGAAUAGACCUUAAUGGCGUCUACUGGACAACCACAGUCAUCUUUGAAGAGACCUAGUCCUGCAUUUAACAGAGAAGGAGAUAAACUCAUGAUCACUCCUUUAGGGUCUGGGAAUGAAGUGGGACGGUCAUGUGUUUACAUGUCUUUCAAAGGAAAAAGAGUCUUGUUUGACUGUGGCAUUCGUCCAGCUUACUCAGGCAUGGCUGCUUUGCCGUAUUUUGAUGAAAUUGAUCCUUCAACUAUUGAUGUUCUUCUCAUUACCCAGUAAGUUUUCUGUGCCUUAGUUCUAUAAAUUGAAUAGGUAUUGCAGUACGGUACUUCUUCUCCCAAAGUGUUCUAUUGCUUAAACAAAUGCAAAGCUCAUCUGAGCUAAAUUCAUGGUGGAGCUUAUUUUGAGUUUUGACUGUAUAUUGGUUUGAUUCUUUAUGUUCAUGUUGCUAAGGCUCCAGAAGAAGAGUGGUUAAGUUUCAACGCAAGACGAAAACAAAUUAUAAAGACGAAAGAAGAUGCACAACUAAGUAGAAUUAAUAUUAUGGGCUAUUAUGUUUGGGCGAUUCUAUGUGUUCUUGGUAGAGCUUUUGGCGGAUCUUCUUAUACAAGAGGACUCAGAGAAAGAAAAAAAAAAAGCACUGCCAUUAACCAACUAAAAAACCUAAUCUUUCGUUGGAAGAUGGGAGGAAAAGGGUUUCUUUUCUGGGAGACAAUGUUAAUUAAAUGUUAGAAUUAGAUUAUUCUUUUGUGAGGUUUUGUUGCUGAAAGUUGUACCUGUAAUAUCCAAAUUGCGCCUCUUAGUAGCUACUGUCAGUUGUUUGUUUAAGUUCCUUUAGUGAAGGGACCAAAAGUACUCAUAUUGUUUAACUAAAGGUUAAAUGUGAUUCGUCUAAUAUCACAAGGACUAAAAUUGGAAUUAACUGGUAACGUAAGGACCAAAGGUGCUAUUUUCUAAUUCUUUAUUGUUCUGCUCAUUUAAAAUGGUUCAAACAUAAUAUGGGACAAAGGAAGUAACUUAUUAUAUCGUUCUCAGCGCUGACUUGUAAUAUUUUUUAUGUUCGUGAUUACAUACCUAUCAGUUGAAAAAGAAGAUUUUCAUUUUGUGAUUAUACUCUCACAUGUUUGUAAGUGCACAAACUUCAAAUGGUUUGAAGUCAUCAAUGGACUAGCUCAUCAUUAUUUGAAAUUAUUUUUGUUAUUAUUGAUAAAAUGGUGCAAAUAGGGGACGAAUGCUUCAAAGAGCCCUUGACGAGUUAUUAGAAGCAAAACGGCCAAUGUUCAGAGAAAAAAAGCUUUACUAGUAGUUCUUUUUAAUUGUCACCCACCCUUCCAAUUGUGAAGUUGUGGCUUUGAUUAUGUCAAUGGUUCCUGGAUAGAGUUGUUUUUUUAUUUCAAUAGUUAUUUAUUGUUUUCCUUGUAUUCGGUUAUUGACAGUCUUGAUUA